AGUGAACGCUGGCGGUAGGCCUAACACAUGCAAGUCGAACGGCAGCACAGUAAGAGCUUGCUCUUACGGGUGGCGAGUGGCGGACGGGUGAGGAAUACAUCGGAAUCUACUUUUUCGUGGGGGAUAACGUAGGGAAACUUACGCUAAUACCGCAUACGACCUACGGGUGAAAGCAGGGGAUCUUCGGACCUUGCGCGAUUGAAUGAGCCGAUGUCGGAUUAGCUAGUUGGCGGGGUAAAGGCCCACCAAGGCGACGAUCCGUAGCUGGUCUGAGAGGAUGAUCAGCCACACUGGGACUGAGACCCGGUCCAGACUCCUACGGGAGGCAGCAGUGGGGAAUAUUGGACAAUGGGCGCAAGCCUGAUCCAGCCAUACCGCGUGGGUGAAGAAGGCCUUCGGGUUGUAAAGCCCUUUUGUUGGGAAAGAAAAGCAGCAGGUUAAUACCCCGCUGUUCUGACGGUACCCAAAGAAUAAGCACCGGCUAACUUCGUG
RNAcentral lists this ribosomal RNA (492 nucleotides) under uncultured bacterium. RNAcentral's name for it is "partial 16S ribosomal RNA". It matches the Rfam family "Bacterial small subunit ribosomal RNA", at positions 29 to 507 of the family's 1533-position model. The record is from RNAcentral.